GUGGACGCUUCGCGCGGCUGCGCCCUGGCCCUCUUGGACAUGGCGGAGACGGUGGUGCCCGGCGGACCGC
Molecule: microRNA precursor, 70 nt
Filed under: bovine alphaherpesvirus 1
Lineage: Duplodnaviria; Heunggongvirae; Peploviricota; Herviviricetes; Herpesvirales; Orthoherpesviridae
Description: Bovine alphaherpesvirus 1 microRNA bhv1-mir-B10 precursor
Gene: bhv1-mir-B10
Source: miRBase by way of RNAcentral